Molecule: ribosomal RNA, 445 nt
Filed under: uncultured bacterium
Lineage: Bacteria
Description: SSU rRNA
Rfam family: Bacterial small subunit ribosomal RNA
Source: RNAcentral
AGAGCGAACGCUGGCGGCAGGCCUAACACAUGCAAGUCGAGCGCGUGUAGCAAUACACGAGCGGCAGACGGGAGAGUAACACGUGGGAACGCGCCCUUCGGUUCGGAAUAACUCAGGGAAACUUGAGCUAAUACCGGAUACGCCCUUACGGGGAAAGAUUUAUUGCCGAAGGAACGGCCCGCGUCCGAUUAGCUAGUUGGUGAGGUAACGGCUCACCAAGGCGACGAUCGGUAGCUGGUCUGAGAGGAUGACCAGCCUCACUGGGACUGAGACACGGCCCAGACUCCUACGGGAGGCAGCAGUGGGGAAUAUUGGACAAUGGGCGCAAGCCUGAUCCAGCCAUGCCGCGUGGAUGAUGAGGCCUUAGGGUUGUAAAGUCUUUAACGGGGAAGAUAAUGACGGUACCCGUAGAAUAAGCCCCGGCUAACUUCGCGCCAGCAGCCGC